Long non-coding RNA from Chroicocephalus ridibundus (black-headed gull), 412 nucleotides. RefSeq lists it as uncharacterized. Lineage: Eukaryota; Metazoa; Chordata; Aves; Charadriiformes; Laridae. The transcript is spliced from 3 exons. The record is from RefSeq and is a predicted model, not a curated record.
GCCGGGAGGCGGGGGAAGCGGCAGCGAACGGACCCAACUGGGUAAUCUCCUGUUCUUCAGUCUCUCACUUCUUUCACUCCUCUUCCCAUCUUGCAGGAAGUUGUGUAAGCCUGAAAUUGCAGAAACACACUGGAUAUAACAUCUGGAACAAUAAAACAAGAGCUGAGCAUUGGUAAAUUAAAAACAGAUGCCAACUGCACUUGGCAGAGAAGAUGCAACUUCUGCACCUGUCCAGGCUAUUUGGGAUGAAACUCAGCUGGGCCUGGGCAGCCCUUGGCCAGCACUUCCCCAGGGCAGCUGCUCACAGAGACAUUUCUUUUAACCCAGGCACUAUUUCCAGUUCAGCAGUCAAAACCUCUCCUUCUGAGGCAAGAGAAGCUUAGUAUUACACUAUUUUGGAAGCUAAUCUUAU